This 1182-nucleotide ribosomal RNA is filed under the name Perezitrema bychowskyi. RNAcentral describes it as "eukaryotic LSU rRNA". It matches the Rfam family "Eukaryotic large subunit ribosomal RNA", at positions 87 to 857 of the family's 3401-position model. Lineage: Eukaryota; Metazoa; Platyhelminthes; Trematoda; Plagiorchiida; Macroderoididae. The record is from RNAcentral.
CGGCGAGUGAACAGGGAAAAGCCCAGCACCGAAGCCUGUGGCCAUUUGGUUACUAGGCAAUGUGGUGUUUAGGUCGUUCCGCAGAGGUUCUGCUCCACCCUAAGUCCAUCAAUGAGUAUGGUAGUAUGGACAUGGCCCAAAGAGGGUGAAAGGCCCGUGGGGGUGGAGAUUCGUUUGGACAGAGCCUCUCUGGUGAGACCUUGGAGUCGGGUUGUUUGUGAAUGCAGCCCAAAGUGGGUGGUAAACUCCAUCCAAGGCUAAAUACUAGCACGAGUCCGAUAGCGAACAAGUACCGUGAGGGAAAGUUGAAAAGUACUUUGAAGAGAGAGUAAACAGUGCGUGAAACCGCUCAGAGGUAAACGGGUGGAGUUGAACUGCAAGCUUUGAGAAUUCAGCUGAUGAGUGUGGUUUGAGCUUGGUCAAAUUGGUGAACUCCGGGGUCUGCGUAGUAGCAGGUCUUUGCCUUCGGGUGAGGAUGCGCGAUACACUUGUCAAGUGUUGUGCGCUUCGGUUGUUCUUCGGCCUGCUCGUCAGUGCACUUUCUCUUAGUGGUCACCACGACCGGCACCGCUGUCUGGCUUCUUCGGUUAAACCGGUUUUGCUUAGUCAUAAGGCUUUGCUUGAUCGGGAGGGCAGGUAGCUCGUUGACUUGCUUGUGGUUCGCUGCAAGCGUUCGGUUUUCGAGUGUUAUUAGCUGACCGGAGUAGUACUGUGCAGUGUGUCGGAGACGGCGGCUUGUAGUGCGUGCAUGCGUGCCUGUUCUGCUGACUUGUCCGAGUUUGGUUAUUAUGUUGCCUGUUCAAGCAGGCCUGGUGAUGGCUCGGAUUCGUUCGGUGGGCGGUUGCGUGUGUUGCACCUUUCAGGGCCAACAGUCUGUGGUGUAGUGGUAGACUUUCCACCCGACCCGUCUUGAAACACGGACCAAGGAGAGUAACAUGUACGCGAGUCAUUGGGCGUUACGAAACCCACAGGCGCAGUGAAAGUAAAGGUCUGACUUGUUCAGGCUGAGGUGAGAUCCUGUCGUUUCUCACGCGCGGUACUACCAAGCAUCGAGCGGCAGGCGCAUCACCGGCCCGUCCCAUGGCAGUUGUCUUCGGACAGUUUUCGGUCGGGGCGGAGCAUGAGCGUACAUGUUGAGACCCGAAAGAUGGUGAACUAUGCUUGCGCAGGUUGAAGCCAGAG